RNAcentral lists this ribosomal RNA (37 nucleotides) under Aciculosporium take. RNAcentral's name for it is "partial 28S ribosomal RNA". The record is from RNAcentral. Lineage: Eukaryota; Fungi; Ascomycota; Sordariomycetes; Hypocreales; Clavicipitaceae.
AACUUCCAGCGAGUUGACCUCGAAUCAGGCAGGACUA